GAUGAACGCUAGCGGCAGGCCUAACACAUGCAAGUCGAGGGGCAGCAGACCACUUCGGUGGUGCUGGCGACCGGCGCACGGGUGAGUAUCGCGUUUGCAACCUACCCUUAACUGGGGGAUAGCCCGAAGAAAUUCGGAUUAAUACUCCAUUAAAUUUAAGAACGGCAUCGUUUUUUUAUUAAAGCUCUGGCGGUUAAGGAUGGGCAUGCGUGACAUUAGUUUGUUGGUGAGGUAACGGCUCACCAAGACUACGAUGUCUAGGGGGUCUGAGAGGAUGAUCCCCCACACUGGUACUGAGACACGGACCAGACUCCUACGGGAGGCAGCAGUGAGGAAUAUUGGGCAAUGGACGCAAGUCUGACCCAGCCAUGCCGCGUGCAGGAUGACGGCCCUAUGGGUUGUAAACUGCUUUUAUACAGGAAGAAACCCUCCUACGUGUAGGAGGUUGACGGUACUGUAAGAAUAAGCAUCGCUAACU
RNAcentral lists this ribosomal RNA (478 nucleotides) under uncultured bacterium. RNAcentral describes it as "bacterial SSU rRNA". It matches the Rfam family "Bacterial small subunit ribosomal RNA", at positions 28 to 502 of the family's 1533-position model. The record is from RNAcentral.